ACGCACGCUGGCGGCGUGCCUCAUCCAUGCAAGUCGAACGCUUCUUUCCUCCCGAGUGCUUGCACUCAAUUGGAAAGAGGAGUGGCGGACGGGUGAGUAACACGUGGGUAACCUACCCAUCAGAGGGGGAUAACACUUGGAAACAGGUGCUAAUACCGCAUAACAGUUUAUGCCGCAUGGCAUAAGAGUGAAAGGCGCUUUCGGGUGUCGCUGAUGGAUGGACCCGCGGUGCAUUAGCUAGUUGGUGAGGUAACGGCUCACCAAGGCCACGAUGCAUAGCCGACCUGAGAGGGUGAUCGGCCACACUGGGACUGAGACACGGCCCAGACUCCUACGGGAGGCAGCAGUAGGGAAUCUUCGGCAAUGGACGAAAGUCUGACCGAGCAACGCCGCGUGAGUGAAGAAGGUUUUCGGAUCGUAAAACUCUGUUGUUAGAGAAGAACAAGGACGUUAGUAACUGAACGUCCCCUGACGGUAUCUAACCAGAAAGCCACGGCUAACUACGUG
RNAcentral lists this ribosomal RNA (507 nucleotides) under uncultured bacterium. Its description in RNAcentral is "partial 16S ribosomal RNA". It matches the Rfam family "Bacterial small subunit ribosomal RNA", at positions 29 to 507 of the family's 1533-position model. The record is from RNAcentral.